This 1377-nucleotide ribosomal RNA is filed under the name uncultured bacterium. RNAcentral describes it as "16S ribosomal RNA". It matches the Rfam family "Bacterial small subunit ribosomal RNA", at positions 30 to 1398 of the family's 1533-position model. The record is from RNAcentral.
UGAACGCUGGCGGUAUGCUUAACACAUGCAAGUCGAACGGAAACGAUACUAGCUUGCUAGUAGGCGUCGAGUGGCGGACGGGUGAGUAACGCGUAGGAAUCUGCCUGAUAGUGGGGGAUAGCCCGAAGAAAUUCGGAUUAAUACCGCAUAAUCUAUUCGUAGUAAAGUGGGGGACUUUCGAGCCUCACGCUAUCAGAUGAGCCUGCGUAAGAUUAGCUUGUUGGUAGGGUAAAAGCCUACCAAGGCGACGAUCUUUAGCUGGUCUGAGAGGAUGAUCAGCCACAUCGGGACUGAGACACGGCCCGAACUCCUACGGGAGGCAGCAGUGGGGAAUAUUGGACAAUGGGGGCAACCCUGAUCCAGCAAUACCGCGUGUGUGAAGAAGGCCUGAGGGUUGUAAAGCACUUUCAAUUGUGAAGAAAAGUUAGCGGUUAAUAACCGUUAGCCUUGACGUUAACUUUAGAAGAAGCACCGGCUAACUCCGUGCCAGCAGCCGCGGUAAUACGGAGGGUGCAAGCGUUAAUCGGAAUUACUGGGCGUAAAGCGUGCGUAGGUGGUUUAUUAAGUCAGAUGUGAAAGCCCCGGGCUUAACCUGGGAACUGCAUUUGAAACUGGUCAACUAGAGUAUGGUAGAGGAAAGUGGAAUUUCUGGUGUAGCGGUGAAAUGCGUAGAUAUCAGAAGGAACAUCAAUGGCGAAGGCAGCUUUCUGGACCAAUACUGACACUGAGGUACGAAAGCGUGGGUAGCAAACAGGAUUAGAUACCCUGGUAGUCCACGCCGUAAACGAUGAUAACUAGCCGUUGGGGGGAUUUACCCUUUAGUGGCGAAGCUAACGCGUUAAGUUAUCCGCCUGGGGAGUACGGCCGCAAGGUUAAAACUCAAAGGAAUUGACGGGGACCCGCACAAGCGGUGGAGCAUGUGGUUUAAUUCGAUGCAACGCGAAGAACCUUACCUGGUCUUGACAUCCUGCGAACUUUCUAGAAAUAGAUUGGUGCCUUCGGGAACGCAGUGACAGGUGCUGCAUGGCUGUCGUCAGCUCGUGUCGUGAGAUGUUGGGUUAAGUCCCGUAACGAGCGCAACCCCUAUCCUUAUUUGCCAGCACAUCAUGGUGGGAACUAUAAGGAGACUGCCGGUGAUAAACCGGAGGAAGGCGGGGACGACGUCAAGUCAUCAUGGCCCUUACGACCAGGGCUACACACGUGCUACAAUGGGAAGGACAAAGAGCCGCGAAGCCGCGAGGUGUAGCUAAUCUCAUAAACCUUUUCGUAGUCCGGAUUGGAGUCUGCAACUCGACUCCAUGAAGUCGGAAUCGCUAGUAAUCGUAGAUCAGAAUGCUACGGUGAAUACGUUCCCGGGUCUUGUACACACCGCCCGUC